ACAAGAUCUACUAACACACUCCUGUUGCAGUUUUCCUGAUAAUUGGACUCCUGGGCUAUCAGGACAGGGGAAGAACUUCAAGGACGUCUGCCAGUGUCUGUGUCAGCAUGCCUGUACUAGGUCACAACAAUGGACGUCACCAAUGCCUCAGUCUCUGGAGAGGUCUUACCUCUCGCCGAGAUGCAUCCACAACCUACCAGCAGUAAUGGGUACUUAGAAGUGAACUUGAUGAGGAAAAAGUACUUAGAAGCACUCCAGGACACUUGCAUUUCGAGGAAGAGAACUUGAGCUUGGGGAGGCAUCACAGAACUCCCCUUCGUUUAUGACAGCGUGCUUUGCCUUCCACGGAGGGGCAGAAGAUGAAGGUACGGUGCUUCCAUGUCAAAAAUUUUUGGUAAAUGACAUUUUUCAUUCCCUGGGACCUGCUAUUGGCUUCUUAUUUUUCCUUUUCAAUAUUAAAAAAACUUUCUGCUUUAUUUUCUAUUAUUCUCAUUUUUUUCCUGCACCUCUAUCA
This 514-nucleotide long non-coding RNA is filed under the name Equus asinus (donkey). Its description in RNAcentral is "lncRNA (ENSEASG00005025494.1)". The record is from RNAcentral. Lineage: Eukaryota; Metazoa; Chordata; Mammalia; Perissodactyla; Equidae.